This 253-nucleotide ribosomal RNA is filed under the name uncultured bacterium. Its description in RNAcentral is "partial 16S ribosomal RNA". It matches the Rfam family "Bacterial small subunit ribosomal RNA", at positions 524 to 776 of the family's 1533-position model. The record is from RNAcentral.
GACGAACCGUGCGAACGUUGUUCGGAAUCACUGGGCUUAAAGGGCGCGUAGGCGGCCACGAACGUCCGGGGUGAAAUCUUUCGGCCCAACCGGAAAAGGGCCCCGGAUACGGCGUGACUGGAGGGGGAUAGGGGCGGACGGAACUUCCGGUGGAGCGGUGAAAUGCGUUGAUAUCGGAAGGAACGCCGGUGGCGAAAGCGGUCCGCUGGGUCCCAUCUGACGCUGAGGCGCGAAAGCCAGGGGAGCGAACGGG